UCACUACAUCACAUAGGCGCCUAUUCAUUAAGGGUAUAGUGGUCUUUACACUUCAAAAGACCACACUCCAAGAGCGCCUCUUCCUAAACCUCAUUAAGGGCAAUUUAGUCAUUGUUAUGUAAUAGUAUAAAUAGACACUUUAGAUACUAUUUUCAUUAGACUUUUGAUGAUAUUGAACAUUACUCUUAAUUUGUAGCUUUAGUCUUCUAGUAUAUCCCUAGAAUCCGAAAUUAGGUCCCUUGAACAUUGAAAUUGGUUUUUCACUUGUCUUGGGAAAUUUGCAAGAAAGGUGUGUUUGAGGAAGUGUGAGUCCUUUGGGUCACCUAAGAGGAAGGUUUGAACUUCUAUUUAUGAGGUGUGAUUGAUGGUUUGAUACACCAUCUUUUGUUAAUUAUUUGGUAGAAGUAAGGUUCUUUCUAUCUAUCUUUAAUUUCAUGCAAUUCUUCUUCUUCUUUAUCUCCUUCUAUUGUGUUGUUUUCUCUUCAUGUGCUUGCUGGUUUUUGUGUUUUGUGAGUCCAUUUUUGUUAGUUCAUAGCCUUUAGGCUAUCAUUUGGUAUCAAAGCCUUGGUUAGGGUUGUUCCAACAUUCCUAAAUCUUGGUUUUAGUGUUCUUAUUUAGAAAAUCUCAACAAAAAAGAUCCAAAAAAUCAGAAAAUACAAAAAAAAGUGUUGUCUUGUGUGUUUGUUGUAGAUCUGAAUUUUCUAAGUUCGAUCUACAAGAUUUUAUUGUGUUUUUGAAGUGUCUUGCACUAGAUCCUUGCUCUCUAGUUCCUAGGGAGUCUAGAUCUACUUUUAGAGUGAAGAUUGGUUGAUUUUGAGCUAGAUCCACCAUUUUUGUGGAUUGUUUGAAGCUUUUUGGAGAAGGUGACGUUUUGGGUUUGUGUUGGUGACUUGAUUCGUGGCUGAAUUUUAGUUGGUUGAGUUUGUUUUGGCAUAAGGAACCUAGAUCUAAAAAAAAAAAAUCAGAUUUGGAGCUCGUUUGCAUGGUGGUCAAACUUGGUUAGCACUUGAAUAUUCAUAUUGUUCUUCCAUGAUCUUCAUAUUUAAGUAAAGAAGAAUGUUCGAGGGUGUUGUUUGAUCCAUAAAAUGGAAGAAAGAGAGUAAAAAAGUUGUUAGUCCAAAAGCAUAUUCAAAGAAUAUUUCAUUCUUCCAAAAGGAGGAGGGGACAAGGGGACAAACAAGUACACUUGAAAGUACAAGGUGGGGACCAACUCAUUUUGAAUUCAUUUGAAGCUUCGAAAAGGCUUCAAAAACCUCCAUUUUUCUUCUAUAACCGAAAUCCUUUCAUCCCUGUAGGAGUUCUUGGCCUAAACAAAGAAUUGGGAAAAUUGAAAAUUUGAAAAGUGACAACCAACCACGUAGUGCCAUGUCAUCACUUGUGCUCAACCAAAAUUCGACUCUAAAAUUAGAUUUCCUAGUUUCUAAUUUUUUAUUAUAUUUUCUUUUAAGCUAAUUCUAUCACUAAUUAGCAAACUAGUAAGUACCUACUAGGUUGGUAAUUAGUCUAGAGUUCAUUUAUUUCGUGUCUUUGGUUUUUGUGUACUUUUCUCAUUUUUAAGAUGGUAUUUUGUUGGUUCAAGUUCGUACAUCACUUUAUUUGAGUCAUUUCAAACAAAGAUCGAUUAUGGACCAAAGCUUCUCACCUCUUAAGUAACUUGCAAAGCAUUUCCGGUUCUCCAACAAUUGUGAGGCCAAGUGUGAGGUGAGGUUGAGUGUGAGUGAAGUGAGGUUUUUGAACUAACUUGUUUGAUCAUUUUGUAGGUUGGUUGCUUGAUUUUUUUUUGUUCUUUAAGGUACAUUUGACAUGGAAUCUAAAGGAACUACUUCCCAAUCUUUGGGGAAUGAUGUUAUUGGAGCCUUGAUGGCUCAAUUGAUGCCUUGGGCCGAGAAAUAAAGAAUAGUAGUGAUGCCUUUUCCCAAAAGGUGGAGGAUAGUAAUGAUACUUUGAGGAGUGAAUUGAAGAGUGAUGUUGAUGCCUUGAUAAGUGAAAUGGUGACUAUGAAGGGUGAAAUUUGCACUUUUAGUGGAAGACUUGAUUGUGUUGAAAGUAGGAGGAACUCAUGACCUUCUACUCCUAAUCCCUACCAUAAAUCCUCUAGUGUCCAAGCUAAUAAAUCUUCCAUGAAUAUAACACCCGAUAACCUACACCAAAUUCUUAACCCUCCAAGAGUUCCAAAAAAAAACAGCCACUAAAACAAUCCCAAAUCUCUCCGAACCGAACCCUAUAAAGACUACUACAUUCCCAAAUGAACCAAGUUCAACAAGAAGGACUUGGAACUCAAAAUUCACCACCAUAUCUGAACCAAAUACCUCCACAACAUACCACUUACCAAAUGUCAAAUCCCAUGGACCAAAGACCUUACCAUCCGCCACCUCCAAUACCAUAAGUUCAAGUCCUAAAUAAUUAAAGACCAAACCCACUUCCCAAAGGCCUCAAAUCCGAAACCCACCCAUCCAAAUAGAGGAUAUGGUAGAGGGGAGCAAGAAGGUUAUGAAGUUCCUCAUGAUGUUUAUUGGUUUGAUGAAGGAGAGAGGGGAAGAUAUGAGCAAAGGGGACCUUAUGGUAGAUUCCGAGGGAAAGAUGCAAAGGAUAGGCAUGGUGAUCAACCAACAAUUUGAGACAUUGACAUUAAUUCAAUCAAGGUUGGCAUUCCUUGGGAAUCUUCUUAUGAAAAGUUGUUCCAAGUGAAUGACUUAACCGAGGAGAAGAAAAGUUGUUAUGCCAUUGCACACUUUGAAGGAUAUGCCAACACUUGGUAGGAUUACUCUAAGAGGUUCGAGAAUGUCUUGAUUGGUGGCCAACCACCUCCUUGGGAAGACUUGAAAAGAGUAAUAAGAGAGAGGUAAGUACCAAAAUAAUAUAGACAUGAACUUCUUGCAAAGAUUUACAAUCUAAAGCAAGGAAGAAAGAGUGUCAUGGCCUAUUAUGACGAAUUUCAGCAACUCAUUUUGAAGCUUGAUCAUAGAGAUGAAGAAGUCGUACAUGAUGUUAUUCUCUUCAAGGUUAGAUUGAACAAGGACAUAUCAUCCCGUUUGACUCUUCACAACAUUGGAAUCAUGGUUGAAGUCUUCCAAGCGGCCAUGGAGAUUGAAAAAGAGAACAAAGAGAGGUCGUCUUACAAGAACAAAGAGGUAAGCCCUUUGACUUCGGAUUGGAACAAAAACAAAUCUUCUCCAUCUUCUCAAAUAUCAAACAAGCAAGUUUCAUACUAAUCUACAAAGUUAAAGGUGAAGCCGAAUGCUAUUCCUACUUCAUCUAAGGGCUUGCAAUGUUUCAAGUUUCAAGGUUGAGGUCAUCGAUCAAGUGAGUGUUCUACACAUAGAAAUGUGAUCCUAAGGGAAGGUAGGUUAUACUAUAUUGGUGAAAAAGUUGGAUUAGUAAUUAAGGGGAAUGAUGACAAAUCUCAAGAUGGAGAGUUCUUAGAACCCAAAACUUAAGAGGGAAGUGAAAAAGAGGUGUUGCCUUAUGAAGGGGAAUGUGAUGUCCCUAGUUAUGUGGUUUGGAGGCCUUUGUUUAGUAAGGUCUUGGAUGAUCUAAGAGAGAACCUCUUUCAUACCAAGUGCCUUAUUAAAGGAAGUGUGAGUUCCAUGAUUAUAGAUAGUGGGAGUGGUGUGAACAUUGUUAGUGUCACUUGUUUUGAUCACUUGAAAUUACCCACUAUCCCUCACUAGAACCCAUACAAUCUUCAAUGGUUAAACAAGUAUGGUGGAUUCAAGUUUAAAUGGUAAUGUGCGAUUAGAUUUAAAAUAGGGAAUUAUCAUGAUUAAGUGAUGUGUGAUGUAAUCCCUAUGCAUGCAUGUCAAAUUUUGUUGGGAAGUCCUUGGCUGGAAGGACUAAUAAGUACACCUUUGAGCAUGCUGGUCGAAGAUUCACUUUUCUUCCUCUUCCACCAUCUAGUGUGAAUGGAAUACAAGAUAAAACCAAGAAGUUGGAUAAAAAAAGAAAGAAGGAAAAGGGAGGAAAGGUUUCGGAUUGUGAGAAGGGAAAGGGGGAGACAACUUUGUUUGUGGGACUUUCCCACAAAGGUCCCUCGAUACUCACUAACCCAAAGGAUAGCAUUUUACCUAGCCUUGAUUCUCCUUAUUUGCAGGUUCAAGCUUAUGAAUUAUCAAAGAAGGAUUAAAAAUAAAUCUCACAUGAGGUAGCUUCAAAGGAGUGGACUGUCCUAGUCCAAACUGAGGUAGUGAUGCUAUUCCCGAUAUUUCCUUGAGCUCAAAUUGUUGUUAUGUUAUUCCUUAUGUAGAGGAUUAAGAAUUUCUUGAUGAAGGCGUACAUGAUUCUUCUCUUGUUAGCUCUCUUGAUAUGCAUAAUAAACCAUGUGCACCUAAGAUUAGUUAACUACUUGAAUAUGAGAAUAGUGUGGUUGAAAACUUUCAAGUUAGUGUUGAUGCUAGGAAUUAGGGUCUUGAUAUUGAACAUGGUUCUUUGAACUUGUGUAAUGAAAUCCAUUAUAUUAAUCUUGUUCAUAGUAACCUUGUGUUUGUCUUAGGGGUGGGUAAUGCCUUGAAUGAUUGUGAACUUAGUAACAUAGUGAAAGGAGUGGGCCAUCUCGACUUAAACCUUUAUCAUUUGAUCCCAUUUGACCCUAGAAUAUUCUUGAGAUGUGAAGAUUAUGGUUUCUGGUCAUGCUCACUUAUCUUUGAUAUUGAUGCUAUUCAUGUCUUUGGUAUCCUUUAUGAUAAGCUUUUAUGUCAAAUACUAAGGAUAGGUGGGUGUAUGUCAAGUGUGAGCAACUAUGGGUUGAUGAUAUGAGUGUGGUACUAAUAAUACCCCUCCUACCGGAAGGAUUGUGUGUUUGUUUUUCUCUAUCUUUGGUUUUUGCAAGAUCUGAAUUUGAGGACAAAUUCCUUCAAGAUGGAGAGGAUGAUACAAGCACAAGGAGCACAAGGAUUUCAAGGUCUUGUGGAAGGUUCAAGUUUAGAUUUGGCAAGUUCUUGAAGACCCUUUUUGAUCCUUUUCAAAGCCUUGAUCAAAUUAAAAAUAAAGAGGGAUCACUACAUCACAUAGGCGCCUAUUCAUUAAGGGUAUAGUGUUCUUUACACUUCAAAAGACCACACUCAAUUUAGUCAUUGUUGUGUAAUAGUAUAAAUAGACACUUUAGAUACUAUUUUCAUUAGAAUUUUGAUAAUAUUGAGCAUUACUCUUAAUUUGUAUCUUUAGUCUUCUAAUGUAUCCCUAGAAUCCAAAAUUAGGUCCCUUGAACAUUAAAAUUGGUUUUUCACUUGUCUUGGGAAAUUUGCAAGAAAGGUGUUCUUGAGGAAGUGUGAGUACUUUGGGUCACCUAAGAGGAAGGUUUGAA
RNAcentral lists this long non-coding RNA (5299 nucleotides) under Capsicum annuum. RNAcentral describes it as "long non-coding RNA (CANN_LNC008401)". The record is from RNAcentral. Lineage: Eukaryota; Viridiplantae; Streptophyta; Magnoliopsida; Solanales; Solanaceae.